AUUGAACGCUGGCGGCAGGCCUAACACAUGCAAGUCGAGCGGAUGAAGGGAGCUUGCUCCUGGAUUCAGCGGUGGACGGGUGAGUAAUGCCUAGGAAUCUGCCUGGUAGUGGGGGAUAACGUCCGGAAACGGGCGCUAAUACCGCAUACGUCCUGAGGGAGAAAGUGGGGGAUCUUCGGACCUCACGCUAUCAGAUGAGCCUAGGUCGGAUUAGCUAGUUGGUGGGGUAAAGGCCUACCAAGGCGACGAUCCGUAACUGGUCUGAGAGGAUGAUCAGUCACACUGGAACUGGGACACGGUCCAGACUCCUACGGGAGGCAGCAGUGGGGAAUAUUGGACAAUGGGCGAAAGCCUGAUCCAGCCAUGCCGCGUGUGUGAAGAAGGUCUUCGGAUUGUAAAGCACUUUAAGUUGGGAGGAAGGGUAGUAAGUGAAUACCUUGCUGUUUUGACGUUACCAACAGAAUAAGCACCGGCUAACUUCGUG
This 484-nucleotide ribosomal RNA is filed under the name uncultured bacterium. RNAcentral describes it as "partial 16S ribosomal RNA". It matches the Rfam family "Bacterial small subunit ribosomal RNA", at positions 30 to 507 of the family's 1533-position model. The record is from RNAcentral.